RNAcentral lists this long non-coding RNA (1499 nucleotides) under Ursus maritimus (polar bear). Its description in RNAcentral is "lncRNA (ENSUMAG00000007097.1)". The record is from RNAcentral. Lineage: Eukaryota; Metazoa; Chordata; Mammalia; Carnivora; Ursidae.
GUUCUGUCACGUGGAAUCUCUUAGCCUCAGGGAUCCGGAACUCCGGGAAGGGACUACUUCGAAUCAAAUAGAAUUAUACGUAAAUCCUUUUGUUUGAAACCUUCAGCCCCCAAGAUCCAGAUUCCUGAAGAUCCAGACAUCAUGACCUCAGUUUCAACACAGUUGCUCUUGGUCCUCAUUUCACUGCUUUUGGUGCUGCCUGUUGUUGAAGCAGUAGAAGCUGGAGAUGCAAUCGCUCUCUUGUUAGUUUCUUGGAAUUCUCAAAGCGCAUGAAAUAGGAAGAAGGAAACCCUUGCCCAGAAUCCUAGGAAAUUGCCAGUUCCUCCCUCAUUGAGGAGUCUUUUCUUCAUACUUCUAUUAGAUUUUUGUUUUGUUAACUCCCAACUUAAUAUUGUACUUAGAUAGCGAAUGCAGUCAGUCAGAAAUUAAAUUUUUUAUUUCUCUGGGCGGAUGUAAGAAAAAUGUAUUCAGUGUAUCUAAUGUUAAAAUGGAGACAAUAUUUAAUGUAAAAAAAUACUUUAUAUUGACAUUGGAAUGGAGAAGAGAUUUAAUGUUUAAAAAAAAAAAACCUUUAUAUUAACUGAGUAACAUCUCCACGAGGAGAAGUACUAUAUUAAAUAUAAACCCAUUAUGUUAUAAGUUAAUGUGUGACGUUCAUUUCUGUUUACUUCAAGUUGUUUUUAUCUUUGUAUGGACUUUUUUGUCAGCUAAGUGGCAGAAUUCCUUACCUUAAGUGAUCACACUAACUUAUAGAAACACUAUUAGUGAUACGUGGGAAAUGGGCAGUAUCAAGGUAGAAGUCCCUGGUAGAGAAUCCACAGAUACAGAAGGAAAAGGUAAUGACCUAUACAAAUUUACACACUAACGAGAUGAAACAUACCCUAUCUGACCUAACUACUGAAGUGUCCUCAAACUGGUAAUAUCAUCUGAGGACUUGUUAGAAAUGCAAAAUCUCAGACCCGGUCCAGACCAAUUGGAUCAGAAUCUGCGUUUGCUUCAGGAGCCCAGGGUAAUUUGUGUGCAUAUUCAAGUUUAAGUAAAGACUGUUUUUCACCGUUUGAACUCAAGAAUCACCGGAAGGACUUGAAAAAACUUUCAGAUUCCCAAAUCUUUCUCCUAGUUGCAUUGUGGUAAUUUUAGGUUGGGGCCUGGAAUUCUAUGUUUAACAAAAGGCCCUCAUGAUUCUUUUGAUUCUGUAGAUAAUAAGCCAGCAGAGAAUAGUCUUGAGUAAAUCAAACUACAUGAGGGUCCUACUGGAAACAGGUAAUCAAGUGUUUUACUGAAAUAAUGCAUUAUCCAAUCUCUAGCUCUCCAGGUGACAUUGGGAGUCUUAAUGUUGAUUAGAGAACAGGCAGUAGCAACCUAAAACCCUGUUGAUAGUGCGAGCUCACCUGGCUUGCAUGAAAGGGUUGGGUAAAGAGUACCAGAAGUGAGGGACAGCCAUGCUCUACAGACAGAAACCGAAUAAAUCUAUUUUUGUCAUAGCUAUUUUAUUUUUU